This 504-nucleotide ribosomal RNA is filed under the name uncultured bacterium. RNAcentral describes it as "partial 16S ribosomal RNA". It matches the Rfam family "Bacterial small subunit ribosomal RNA", at positions 29 to 523 of the family's 1533-position model. The record is from RNAcentral.
AUUGAACGCUGGCGGCAGGCCUAACACAUGCAAGUCGAACGGAAGCACAGAGAGCUUGCUCUCGGGUGACGAGUGGCGGACGGGCGAGUAAUGUCUGGGAAACUGCCCGAUGGAGGGGGAUACCUCCGGGAAACGGUAGCUAAUACCGCAUAACGUCUUCGGACCAAAGGGGGGGACCUUCGGGCCUCACACCAUCGGAUGUGCCCAGAUGGGAUUAGCUAGUAGGUGGGGUAAUGGCUCACCUAGGCGACGAUCCCUAGCUGGUCUGAGAGGAUGACCAGCCACACUGGAACUGAGACACGGUCCAGACUCCUACGGGAGGCAGCAGUGGGGAAUAUUGCACAAUGGGCGCAAGCCUGAUGCAGCCAUGCCGCGUGUAUGAAGAAGGCCUUCGGGUUGUAAAGUACUUUCAGCGGGGAGGAAGGCGGUGAAGUUAAUAGCUUCAUCGAUUGACGUUACCCGCAGAAGAAGCACCGGCUAACUCCGUGCCAGCCGCCGCAGUAA